ACUAUAUGUUUACACUGUUCAAGUAUACUAUAUGCACCAGAAUGUAAUCAGGUGCAUAUGUUGCCAGACAGAGAUGCCAUCUGUAUAUACCUGGAAUCAAUCACAAGGUAUAGGGAGGGAAUUAGUCACAUGUAUUCUUAUUAUUACUGCUAGGUUGCUAGCUAGCUGCAUGUAUCCAUCUAGUAAGCAGUCACAAGUCAGAACACACACCUAAAAUAACUUGCAUUCCACAAGAACGGCAGAUGUACAAUGUUUAAAUUGUACUCCCUUCGUUCGAAUUACACGUCCAAAAAAUGAAUGUAUCUCGAUGUAUUUUAGUUGUAGAUACAUCCAUUUUUGUGACAAGUAAUUCCGAAUGGAGGGAGUAUAUGUAAUUUUACUUUUUCUCGGAAGCAUGCUUGGAACCCACAUGUUACAUAUCUAUGCAUAUAUCCCCAUACAACAAUAGAACCAAUACAACAACUAAGCCUAUAAACUUUUUGCUCCCAGCCAGCAUCAUGAAUUUUCUCAGCUAGUACUAACUACCAAGCUAGUCACUGCCUCAGCCAUACUACAGUAAAACGUCCUUAUAUACUACUCCGUACAGUACUGGCUGAUAUGUAAUAAACCAGCAGGAAACUAUGUGUUUUCUCCCAGCCAUAUCAUACACCAAAAGCACAGUGCCCAGCAAUGAGGUCGGCAUCAUUGAUUCCUGAAAUUUUAAGUAUUGUUCGGUGAACUUAACUCAAACAAUAAUAUGUCUAAGAACGACCAGACUACAAGUGAAGCUUAUGAUUACAGAUACAGAAUCUAAACACCGAGUUUAAAUAUUUUAAGUUCAGAACAUAAAUGUAAUCUGAUGAUGUCCAUCACAUUCCUAUGCUUCCAUGAUGAAUUAUACACUUAAUAGCUACCAACAAGCAUAGGCAAUUAUGUAUGACAAACUAAAACAAUUUCUGCUCAACACGUGUAGUGGGUUUAACUUCUACAAUAAAGUAAAUUACAAGAUAUAUCAUAAGAAUUAAUAUCCCAAGGAGCAGAUCAUUGUACAGUUUCUCGUCCAACAAAACAUGUAUGCAGGAGCAUGACUAGUGUAUUCAACAAGGCGUGGUGUAGCUAGGGAGUUCAAGUGAGGUGACAUGUAGUUUCUCACAAGCACGAGCUCAGAGCAAGCAAACGGAGGCGGGGAGAAGUGAGCUCACCAUGGCUCUCAUGUAGCCGACGCCGAAGAGGCGGCAUGUCCGUUCAACAGAAGACGCUGGGGCCGAGCGAGCCUACCACCGCAAACCUCGAUGAGCCCACCCUUGUACUCUGCAAAUCCUGUUGCCGCUGCACAUGACGGACAAGAGACAUAACAAGAUAAUGUUGAUCAAAUCGAAGGAUAAAUCAUGUCCAGGAACAAAGGAGCAGCUUAGAUAGCUGACAUUUCAUGUCCUGGAAAUCAUGUCGAGGUACACCGAACAACACCUAUCAAUGCUCAGCAGCUGCACCUUGAUACACAGAGUAAAAAAAAGAGGUCAAUCACCUCCACAAACACCAGCACCUUGAGAAGGAAUUGUCCAGCUGCCAAAGAAGGAAGGACUCUCUGCUUCAUUCAUUCUAGACUAUUUGCAAUUUCAGUUUGGUUUAGAAUUAGAAAUGAAUCUUGAACAAAAAGGAAAAGAAAAAGUGUUCGUCAUAUUUGUUCUUCAUACAAGAAACUGAACCAACAAGUUGUUUCAGUCAGAGUUGAACCAAAAUACGUAUUUAAUCAUGCCUAAAAUACAUCACAUCCACAUCGCACACCAAAUUAACAUAGGAAGCAGGGGAGUAGGUCGUUGUACCAAUCCAUCACCUUGAUGGAGUUAGGGGAAGAGAAGAAGCAGAGUAGGGAGGCCCAUGGCGUCCCUCCCAAGCAGCAGCACAACACAUCACGCCUUCUUCUCCCAUGGUGACGUCCUGGUUCGAAAGAGAGAUGAGAAGGGGGUAAGACAGAGAGCAGAAGAAGAAAAGAUGAGGGGAAGAGAAACGGAUUCAGAUAUCAAAAUGUCAAACUAGCAUUCAGAUAUCAAAAUGUCAUACUAGCAAAAUGUCCAACUAGCAUUCAGAGAUCAAAAUGUCAGAAGUUCACACACACCAACACCAAAUCAUACUUCUUCUGUCAACUAUAAAUCGACUGAUUGGGGGUUUCUACGAUUUUUUACCAAUUGUUUUUGCUUCACAAAAAGCUAACAGUUGGUCCUGAAUUUUAUCUUCACAGGGAUGUCAAUCAACCACAACGAAACUGCAUAAACUGAGGGAUUCAUUGCUAAUUCGAACGUGAGUACGAACAGGAAACCUACGGGAAACCUACAGCGAUGGAGAUCCAAAUUCGCAUCCGCAUCAAAUCAAACGGCCAGAUCUAUGCGGAAACCUACGGGAAGCAAAGGAAGCAGAUCGAGGACAUGGAC
RNAcentral lists this long non-coding RNA (2408 nucleotides) under Triticum aestivum (bread wheat). RNAcentral describes it as "long non-coding RNA (TAES_LNC017872)". Lineage: Eukaryota; Viridiplantae; Streptophyta; Magnoliopsida; Poales; Poaceae. The record is from RNAcentral.